Molecule: long non-coding RNA, 753 nt
Filed under: Lotus japonicus
Lineage: Eukaryota; Viridiplantae; Streptophyta; Magnoliopsida; Fabales; Fabaceae
Description: long non-coding RNA (LJAP_LNC000505)
Source: RNAcentral
GAGGACUUUGUGAUGAGUGAUGGGAGCUAGUUACAGAUAUUGUUUUGGCUAUAGGGAAAGAUAAGGACUAGGUGCUGAGAUCUCAAGGUUAUAGAGAAAGAGAAGUACUAAGUGCAGGAGCACAAGUGUGCUGCUUUAUAAUAAAGCCCUGAGAACAGUUUUUGGUAUGAUUUGAUUGUCUUCAAUUCAUUUCUUGUCAUAGCAACUGCUUUUACAAUUUCAUUCGUCUUACGUUAUUUGUGUACACCCAUUUAUAGCUGAUAGGCAAAUAAAGACAUAACUAUAUAAGAGAUAAGUAAUAGAUUGAGGAAUUUAGCAUACACAAAUGAAAGCUUGUGUAAGGUUACACAUUGCCCUUUUGACAUGCACCAGCAGGUUUUUCCGGUUUAAAAAAAAACAAAAAACAUAUAUAUUAGUAAAUUAGUUAAGGAAAGAUUAGGUUAAUUAUCUAAUAGUUAAAAGAAAAUUACAAAUUCCAAAGGAAAAAAAGAAACUCUUCCAGAACAAUCCACGAACCAGUAAGGUUACACAUUGCCCUUUUGACAUGCACCAGCAGGUUUUUCCGGUUUAAAAAAAAACAAAAAACAUAUAUAUUAGUAAAUUAGUUAAGGAAAGAUUAGGUUAAUUAUCUAAUAGUUAAAAGAAAAUUACAAAUUCCAAAGGAAAAAAAGAAACUCUUCCAGAACAAUCCACGAACCACGGCGACCUUCCUCUUCUCCCAUCAACAACAGAAAUCCGUCGCCGCCCAUAGCC